This 473-nucleotide long non-coding RNA is filed under the name Zonotrichia albicollis (white-throated sparrow). Its description in RNAcentral is "lncRNA (ENSZALG00000001100.1)". The record is from RNAcentral. Lineage: Eukaryota; Metazoa; Chordata; Aves; Passeriformes; Passerellidae.
GGGUGUUUACAGCACCAAAACCCCAAAUGUCCCAAUUCCCCAAAUCCUGCUGGGCCUGGGCGCCUCCAGCUUCGAGUUCAGGCUGGAUCCCAGUGCUGACCCCGAACUGGCUCUGGUAGAGACAUCGAAAUUCCCAGGAAUUGGGGAAUUUCCAAUGUUGUGAUCCCACAAACCCCGAAUCUCCUGACUCCCACAACACCAACCCCAAAGUUCUCAGGAAUUGGGCAAUUCCCAAUGUCAGAUUUCCCACAAAACCCCGAAUCUCCACAGCACCGAACCCCAGGGCUCCCAUUUCUUGCACCGCCAGCUGUGUUUGGGGUGUUCUGUCCCAUUUCCCCUAUCCCAGUCCCUGUUUUUGGGGUGUUUUGGGUGUUCUGUCCCGUUUCCCCAUCCCAGUCCCUGUUUUUGGGGUGUUGUGUCCCGUUUCCCCAUCCCAGUCCCUGUGUUUGGGGUGUUUUGGGGUGUUUUUGGGG